AAAUAAAAUAAAAUAAAAUAAAAAUCCUAUCUGGAGCUGCCAAAUCCUAGGAACUGGUCCACAAGUUUUGCUACAGAGCUAGCAAGGCUGUCCGCUGCUUCUUGUGUUGAUGCCUCUGCAUAUACACGUAUAACAUCCUCUGUGCCAGAUGGCCGUAUGAAAGAUCGGCCUUGGGGGUAUUUGGCUAUCUCUGCAUUGAUGGCAUCUUGAAUGCCAGGUGGCCUCACAACCAUAGUCUCUGCAUUUGCUGUUACUACAGCAGUUCUGUCUACGACUUUGACCUUAAGCUGUCUGCUUGGUAGAUCCUGAUAAAGCUCAGCCCAGUUAUGUAUGGACCAUCCCAUAUGUUGUAAAAUGGCUUCUACCAAUAGCAAACCACUUAAAGCAUCUCCAACAGCCUGGUUGAUCAGCUUACUAACAGCUAAUAAUCUCAAAGCAGCUUUAUGCUGUUCCAAUUCUUUAUUUUUGGAAGACAACUCAUUAUAUCUGCUUUCCAACCAAGAUAAGAAGCAUUCUGAGAACAAGAUUGUGCCAUGGCCAUUGGCCUCAAAAUAGAUCCCAAUAUCAUACCGAGCAGCUUGCUCAUGCAAGUAUUUCACUCCUGUUGGGGUAAACACAACUUCAAGCCCUAACUGUUUGAGGUAAUCUGUGGAUGCUCCAUUUGCAUAAGCCGUCUGUAUAACACCAAAUCGAGUUUGAUAGUUGUCACCGAUCUUUUCAUCUCCCUCCGUGCGAAGAACACUCAAUUGCUCCUUGAUGAAUACAGCAAACAAAGAUAGUAUCUUGUCACCGUCAACAAGAUCAAUGAUGUUGCUAUUACUUGAUGGCACAGAAAAAUAAACAAGUCGAUCAGCAUCUCCAUCCAAACUUGCACACCUUAUCCCAACAUCCUUAGAGCCAAAUCCUUCUGGAACAACCUUUUCUUUCUGAACAUAAUCAGCGCCAACUCCUUCAUUGAGUAUACCUCCUCCUUUCCCGGAAUUGCGAACCUCAAUAAGCAAACCAUUCAACAUUUUCUUUAAAACUUCAAUUUUUUCUCCACCAACGCCAUUAGCCCCAUCUAUGACCAAUUUGUCAUCUAUCUCCAGGAUUUUUUGUCCAUUUGGAAUCAAAUCAAUCAAGCACCUAAUAAAUCAUAAAAACCUCAAAUGAAGCCAUUUAGCGAUGACCUUAAUUCAUAAACGAUCACCUCUAACCAGGAAAUACACCUAUAUCUCAAACAAACCUGAAUGAACCAGCAAGCUGCUCAUAGUAAUCAACUUCAGUUGCUUUCAUACCCUUAUUUCUAGCACGAACCAUCCAGUGUAGCUGUGGAGUCGUUAAAAUUCCCAUGUCAAUAGCAAGAGCAUCAACAAUUGAAUUGAUUCCCUUCAGUGAAACAAAAAGCACAAUUCAAUUCAGACUAUUUCUCAAAGAGAUGAAUUAAAAGGUUCAAGAUCACAGUUUCAACCCUGUCAAAAAGGAAAAAAUUAGAUGAACACACAUACAUGCGCAAGUUCAUGACAGAUGAGGGGAGGGGUAUACUUGUUUAGCGGCUUCAAGAAGAGAUUCACCACUAGGCCUUGUGUCUCUUCCCAACAAUAUCUCUGCUGACCGCACUCCAUCAAAAGGGAUGUUUUCCUUCUUUACAAAUUCAUCUAUCAACUGAAGAAGAUGUUGGGGAGUGGCAGCAUUGGCGAUAGCAUCAGCGAAAGGUUCCCAGUCUGGAGUGAGCAUACCACCACUUGGGUCAGCAACUUUGAUUCCAUUAUCGCUGGCUUUGUUGUGUGAUGCAGUGAUCAUCAAUCCAAUCACUGAAUGGGUUUUUAGAGAUCUAAGAGCUGCCAAAAUCCCAACUCUAAACACUGUCGAUUGGAGAAGUGAUGCGUCUGCCCUGAAACCAGCUGUACCAUAGGAUAGCCUCACUCCAUGGGGAGGUGGAAAGCGAGAGGAGGAGUUGAGGAUCAGAGAUUUUUGAUGUUCGUCCAUGUCGUUGUUCCCAGGAGACAGUUUGCGUUCUUUUUUUUCUUCAG
Molecule: unclassified non-coding RNA, 2012 nt
Filed under: Hevea brasiliensis (rubber tree)
Lineage: Eukaryota; Viridiplantae; Streptophyta; Magnoliopsida; Malpighiales; Euphorbiaceae
Source: RNAcentral